GCCAGGCCCCCGCGCCGCCGCUGGGGCUGCCCGGGCGCUGCCGGGCCCGCGGCGCUCCCGCUCCGGUUCGGUCCCGGUUCCUCCCGGUUUCUCCCGGUUCUGGCCCGGUUCCUCCCGGUUCGGUCCCGGUUCCGCCCGGUUUGACCCUGGUUCGGUCCCGGUUCGGUUCCUGUCCCGGUUUCUGUCCCGGUCCCGUUUCUGUCCCGGUCCCGUUUCUGUCCCGGUCCCGUCUCUGUCCCGGUCCCGUUUCUGUCCCGGUCCCGUUUCUGUCCCGGUUCAGUCCCGGUCCGGUCCCGGUGCGGGAUGCGGGCCUGGGCUCGGUGCCCGCUGGUCGAGGACAGCUUCAGCCGCCUCCGCUCCCAGAGCAACGUCUACGGGCUGGCGGCGCUGCCCGGUACCGGCACCGGCACCGACCCGGGCCGGCUGCCCGGGCCCGGUUCUGGCCCGGUCCCGGGUCCCGGUGCCGCUCCCCUUCCCGGUUCUGGCCCGGUUCGGGCUCCCGGGCCCGGUUCUGUCCCGGUUCCGGGUCCCGGUGCCGCUCCCAUUCUCGGUUCUGGCCCGGUUCGGGCUCCCGGGCCCGGUUCUGUCCCGGUUC
RNAcentral lists this long non-coding RNA (595 nucleotides) under Chloebia gouldiae (Gouldian finch). RNAcentral describes it as "Erythrura gouldiae (Gouldian finch) lncRNA (ENSEGOG00005017968.1)". Lineage: Eukaryota; Metazoa; Chordata; Aves; Passeriformes; Passeridae. The record is from RNAcentral.